RNAcentral lists this ribosomal RNA (468 nucleotides) under uncultured bacterium. RNAcentral's name for it is "partial 16S ribosomal RNA". It matches the Rfam family "Bacterial small subunit ribosomal RNA", at positions 28 to 507 of the family's 1533-position model. The record is from RNAcentral.
GAUGAACGCUGGCGGCGUGCUUAACACAUGCAAGUCGAACGGAAAGGCCCAAGCUUGCUUGGGUACUCGAGUGGCGAACGGGUGAGUAACACGUGGGUGAUCUGCCCUGCACUUCGGGAUAAGCCUGGGAAACUGGGUCUAAUACCGGAUAGGACGAUGGUUUGGAUGCCAUUGUGGAAAGUUUUUUCGGUGUGGGAUGAGCUCGCGGCCUAUCAGCUUGUUUGUGGGGUAAUGGCCUACCAAGGCGUCGACGGGUAGCCGGCCUGAGAGGGUGUACGGCCACAUUGGGACGGAGAUACGGCCCAGACUCCUACGGGAGGCAGCAGUGGGGAAUAUGGCACAAUGGGCGCAGGCCUGAUGCAGCGACGCCGCGUGGGGGAUGACGGCCUUCGGGUUGUAAACUCCUUUCGCUAGGGACGAAGCGUUUUUGUGACGGUACCUGGAGAAGAAGCACCGGCUAACUACGUG